Brienomyrus brachyistius is the source of this 2866-nucleotide long non-coding RNA. RefSeq lists it as uncharacterized. The transcript has 3 exons. NCBI's taxonomy places the organism in Eukaryota, Metazoa, Chordata, Actinopteri, Osteoglossiformes, Mormyridae. The record is from RefSeq and is a predicted model, not a curated record.
CCCCAGAAUCAUGUCUAUCCUGAAUCGUGACUGAUAUCCCACAGCGAGUACUACCCUCCUGCAGCAACCCCUUACAGUUUCCCAGGGGAGUGUGGCCCCCCUUUCCCUCACCGCAUCAUAUUUUUCAGUUUCACUCAUUUCUCAGUUUAUGGAUUAUGGGUAUGAGCCUGUGUAAAAUACACAUUUUUUUUUGCAAACUCCAGCUUGGCUCUUCCCUGCUUCUCAUUGAUGAAGGGCUUCUUCCUUGCUUAAUGGGUCUUCACCACUGCUUCUAGGAGCCUGUCCUACCAGUACACUUAACACUUAAUGUUUUCUAUUCCUUUUGAAGGUCACUUGAGGUCAUCCUCCGAUUUGUUAGACACUGACGGAUAAGUUGAUGGUCAUCUGUGGCAUUAGAAGGUUACUUCUGCCCACUACCUGGCUGGUUUUUGAUUUUUCCCAGUGUCUCCUGCUUCUUCACCCUGUUCUUGUGUACUGCGGUCUUAGAAACUCAUGAGCAUGGAAGCAGCCUGCCUCACAGUGUAGCCUUCUGCCAGCAGAACCAGGAUUAAACCAGAAUUUAACAAUGCAGAUUUUAAAAAAGUAUAUAGAGUGGUCUCUUAAUUUUUUACAGAGCUGUGUAUUGUUUAUAUGUAUUUAUUUUAUCUUAUAGCUGCAUGUUUGAACCUGAGACCAGUUUUGAAAUGGAGUCUGUUUCAGAAUACUACAUUCACACUCCCAAAACCUUCAUAUCCCAAAUACUGCAUCAUGAAAGGUGAAAAUUGGGAGUCUGAUCGAAAACCAAAAUCAAGCUGCUGCUGUGAGCUCCUGCUGAGCACCCUGCUUGGAGGCAUGUACACUCGACGGACGCUACGGAGUGUUCCAGUGACUGCCCACUAGUACAUAUCUGCUAGACUCGACACUCGCCGUACCGUACACCAGACAAAGCAAAAAAGCAUAACACAGUGAAGUGAACAGUGACUUCUAUCAUCUAUAUUGUCCUCAGUAGGUGUUAUGAUGCUGACAUGUCACUGAACGUGUCAACCAAUGUAGUCCAUAUCUGGUUUGAUGUCUUACUCCUGGGGAUACCUGCAUUUCCAGGGAUACAUUGAACUGCUUAUAGACUUUUCACAUUUCCCUUCGUCUUCAUCAAAUAGUUUCUCAAUUGGAUUUCUACAGAAGAGCAGACCUUGAUUUCUUUGGACAACCUGUGCUUAAAGCAUGUGACUGAAAAUUAUUAUUCUUAGAGACGGAGAAAUAUGCGUCUUCUCUGUUCAUUCCCAGAAUAAGGAGUGAAAUACAGGCAAUCUACAGCCCAAGGAAGGCAGACAACUGCCUCUAUGUGAUUACAUUGUCGACACUAUGUGAACUAUAGACAAGGUCUCACUUAGAUGCAGUUCUCCUUGAUGUAGCUGGGUUUGAUUUGUGGCUGGUGUGUAGCUGGCCUCUGAGAUGUCGCUCAUGACCCUGUUCAGCGCAGGAAACAUCCAUCAGUGAGCAGGAAGGUGUUCCUUAGGUUUUGCAGACUUUACACAAGAGUUUAUCUCCCAAAAUCAGUCUAAUAAAAUUAUAGCAUGUUUUUUACUUACAGGGAUUCAGGCUCAGCGUAAACUUUUCAGCUAUUCAGUUAAACACCAAUGGAUAGAUAAAAAAAAAACAUAGCAAUUAUAACAUCAAAUUUCGUUUCUAAAUUAUACUGAAUAAUGAACCAACAUCAUGAAAACCAUUAAUCAUAAGAAAUCAGGAACAAAUCAAACAACUAGCGUUUGAAAACAGCACGUAAAAAUAUGUGUAAAAAAAUGGUUCUCUGCUGGCCAGAGAAACAUUCUAUUAAAAAUGCAUACAAAUCUAUUUUUGCAGGUAGAAUGUGUGUUUGUGUACAUUGUUACACAAUGUUGUUAAAGCUAAGAAUCAAAAUAGUGUGUAAAUAUCCAGUCUGACAUCACUAGUGAUGCCCACAGCAGCUCUACUCCUGUGUCCCGUUUAGCCGCCUCAGCUUGGUGCCUCACAGUCGGCGGCUCCAGGCCUCUCAGCACUGAGCACUCAGAGGCUCCCUUGCUGAUGAGCAAAGGGCUGGCAGGCAGAAGACCUGCCAUGUGGGUGUGUGCAGGUCGGCUGUGACCUUCUGCCUCUGUCUGUGCACCUUGUCGAUAAACUCUUAGGUCACUCAGGGUACAAGGCUGGGGGCACCAUGGACAGGAUGCCAGUCGAUCAAAAUAAAUAAACAUAAAUAAAUGCUAAAAGUACAAUGAAUGUAGGUGGAUAUGAGCAGCUGUACAGUCAUGAAGUCCAUCAGAACGUGUCUCCAUAUGAUCUCCAUCUGAGGCCCCACACUGACUUUGACCAGCUGUGUUUGUGCUUUUCUUGCUCACAACCAAAUUCCCCAGAGAUUCAAUAUUUCAGUAGGAUGUAUGAAAGCAACUGUGAUGUCAUCAGCUACAGAGUAACUGAGGGCUCUCUUCUGUCAGAAUGCUUACAGUAACACAGCUGCAGUGGUAAUGAUGAGAUCUCACCCUCUGUUAAUCUUAAGCUUAAGUAUUAAGAAUUGUUUGUUCAUAAGUAAAUAAACUUUCUCUAUGUGCCUUUUCCAUCUCAUCUCCAUGGGCUUUAUCAUAUUGACAUAAACGUUUUAAAUGUGUCAAAGACUUAUGGUUUUAUAUAGUGUUUUCUCUUUCUCUUUCACUGGGUAAAAUACUGAAGUGUCCUUAUGGUAAAACUUCCUUUUACUAUAUGUGGCAGGUUUAGUGUGUAAAUCUUCCGGAACAUCAGCACCUGCACUGUAGUAUCACUCCUCCUGUCCUUUAAUACUACAAAGGGCAUUUCAUACUCCACCCCUGUGCAAAUGAGUCCCUGUUUCCUUCCUCCCUCCUCAUUUAAACAGCACAUU